UACGAGGGAUCCUAGCGUUGUUCGGAAUCAUUGGGCGUAAAGGGUGUGUAGGCGGCCAAGUAAGUCAGUUGUGAAAGCCCCGGGCUCAACCCGGGAAGUGCUUCUGAUACUGCUUGGCUUGAGUAUUGGAGAGGUGAGCGGAAUUCCAGGUGCAGUGGUGAAAUACGUAGAUAUCUGGAGGAACACCGGCGGCGAAGGCGGCUCACUGGCCAUAUACUGACGCUGAAACACGAAAGCGUGGGUAGCAAACAGG
Molecule: ribosomal RNA, 253 nt
Filed under: uncultured bacterium
Lineage: Bacteria
Description: partial 16S ribosomal RNA
Rfam family: Bacterial small subunit ribosomal RNA
Source: RNAcentral